GUUGAUUGUGCAGUUACUAUGAGACUCAGUCCACUGAUGGAGAAACUAAGAGAGUACAGUUAAUUAUGAUAAUUCCCUACAUUUAACAUUUGGAUUUGUUUGCUUUGUGUUUUUUCAUUGUUGUUGUUUGUUUGUUUUGAAAUGGAGUCUUACUCUGUCACCCUGGCUGGAGUGCAGUGGUAUGAUCUCGGCUCACUGCAACCUCUGCCUCCCGGGUUCAAGCGAUUCUCCUGCCUCAGCCUCCUGAGUAGCUGGGAUUACAGGCAUGUGCCACCACAACCGGCUAAUUAUUUGUAUUUUUUUGUAGAGACAGGGUUUCUCCAUGUUGCCCAGGCUGGUCUCGAACUCCUGUCCUCAAGUAAUCCACCUGCCUCGGCCUCUCAAAGUGCUGGGAUUACAGCCAUGAGCCACCGCGCCUGGCCUGACAUUUGAACCUUGUCUUCCCCAAUGCAGCAU
This 456-nucleotide long non-coding RNA is filed under the name Pongo abelii (Sumatran orangutan). RNAcentral's name for it is "lincRNA". Lineage: Eukaryota; Metazoa; Chordata; Mammalia; Primates; Hominidae. The record is from RNAcentral.